This 500-nucleotide unclassified non-coding RNA is filed under the name uncultured Glomus. RNAcentral describes it as "SSU rRNA". It matches the Rfam family "Eukaryotic small subunit ribosomal RNA", at positions 591 to 1092 of the family's 1831-position model. The record is from RNAcentral. Lineage: Eukaryota; Fungi; Glomeromycota; Glomeromycetes; Glomerales; Glomeraceae.
CCAAUAGCGUAUAUUAAAGUUGUUGCAGUUAAAAAGCUCGUAGUUGAAUUUCGGGAUCAGUAGGUCGGUCGUGCCACUGGUAUGAACUGGUCUCACUGGUUCCUCCCUCUUGACGAACUGCAAUGCUAUUAAUUUAGUGUUGUAGGAAAUCAGGACUGUUACUUUGAAAAAAUUAGAGUGUUUAAAGCAGGCUUUGGCUUGAAUACAUUAGCAUGGAAUAAUGAAAUAGGACGUUCGAUCCUAUUUUGUUGGCUUCUAGGAUUGACGUAAUGAUUAAUAGGGAUAGUUGGGGGCAUUAGUAUUCAAUUGUCAGAGGUGAAAUUCUUGGAUUUAUUGAAGACUAACUACUGCGAAAGCAUUUGCCAAGGAUGUUUUCAUUAAUCAAGAACGAAAGUUAGGGGAUCGAAGACGAUCAGAUACCGUCGUAGUCUUAACCAUAAACUAUGCCGACUAGGGAUCGGAUGAUGUUAAUUUUUUAAUGACUCAUUCGGCGCCUUACG